RNAcentral lists this long non-coding RNA (236 nucleotides) under Brassica napus (rape). RNAcentral describes it as "long non-coding RNA (BNAP_LNC019215)". Lineage: Eukaryota; Viridiplantae; Streptophyta; Magnoliopsida; Brassicales; Brassicaceae. The record is from RNAcentral.
UUCAAAAUCAUGUAUUAGAGUUUUAUCUAUCUUUAUGUAUAACUCCUUUUCACUUCUUGGAAAACUCUUUUUCACUUCUUCGAAAGCUCCUGUUCAAAUUCCAAAUCUUGGAAAGCUCCUUUUCACUUCUUUCUUUAUGUUUCUUAAUAACCCAUGGUCUGUAUUUAUGACUCUGCAAAUGACUUUCUGGUUACCCCUUUUAUACAAUCUAAGACAAUGAAGCUUAACCCUCUCUC